This 603-nucleotide ribosomal RNA is filed under the name Bacillus cereus. Its description in RNAcentral is "bacterial LSU rRNA". It matches the Rfam family "Bacterial large subunit ribosomal RNA", at positions 221 to 867 of the family's 2925-position model. The record is from RNAcentral. Lineage: Bacteria; Bacillati; Bacillota; Bacilli; Caryophanales; Bacillaceae.
GAAAUCAACCGAGAUUCCCCCAGUAGCGGCGAGCGAACGGGGAGCAGCCCAGAGUCUGAAUCAGCUUGUGUGUUAGUGGAACGGUCUGGAAAGUCCGACGGUACAGGGUGAUAGUCCCGUACACCAAAAUGCACAGGUUGUGAACUCGAAGAGUAGGGCGGGACACGUGGUAUCCUGUCUGAAUAUGGGGGGACCAUCCUCCAAGGCUAAAUACUCCUGACUGACCGAUAGUGAACCAGUACCGUGAGGGAAAGGCGAAAAGAACCCCGGCGAGGGGAGUGAAAAAGAACCUGAAACCGUGUACGUACAAGCAGUGGGAGCACCUUCGGGUGUGACUGCGUACCUUUUGUAUAAUGGGUCAGCGACUUAUAUUCUGUAGCAAGGUUAACCGUAUAGGGGAGCCGCAGGGAAACCGAGUCUUAACUGGGCGUUAAGUUGCAGGGUAUAGACCCGAAACCCGGUGAUCUAGCCAUGGGCAGGUUGAAGGUUGGGUAACACUAACUGGAGGACCGAACCGACUAAUGUUGAAAAAUUAGCGGAUGACUUGUGGCUGGGGGUGAAAGGCCAAUCAAACCGGGAGAUAGCUGGUUCUCCCCGAAAGCU